This 457-nucleotide ribosomal RNA is filed under the name uncultured bacterium. Its description in RNAcentral is "bacterial SSU rRNA". It matches the Rfam family "Bacterial small subunit ribosomal RNA", at positions 340 to 786 of the family's 1533-position model. The record is from RNAcentral.
UACGGGAGGCAGCAGUGGGGAAUAUUGCACAAUGGGCGAAAGCCUGAUGCAGCUAUGCCGCGUGUAUGAAGAAGGCCUUAGGGUUGUAAAGUACUUUCAUCGGGGAGGAAAAACAAAACUAAUAAUUUUAUUUCUUGACGUUACCCGAAAAAGAAGCACCGGCUAACUCCGUGCCAGCAGCCGCGGUAAUACGGAGGGUGCUAGCGUUAAUCAGAAUUACUGGGCGUAAAGAGCACGUAGGUGGUUUUUUUAAGUCAGAUGUGAAAUCCCUGGGCUUAACCUAGGAACUGCAUUUUGAAACUGAAAUACUAGAGUAUCGUAGAGGGAGGUAGAAUUCUAGGUGUAGCGGUGAAAUGCGUAGAUAUCUGGAGGAAUACCUGUGGCGAAAGCGGCCUCCUAAACGAAUACUGACACUGAGGUGCGAAAGCGUGGGGAGCGAAACAGGGAUUAGGAUACC